CUGGACAGAUAAACAGCCGACGUGAAGAUUAAGAACUGUCUGCUUUCGGGGUACAAAAGAGACCGGUUUCAAAAGUUAUGUUAUGUUAGAUAUCAAAGUUUGAAGACGAUAAUGUCUGAGUUGGAGACUAAAUAGACGCACGUUUUCAGGGGGAAGCAGAUCCGGGGUGAUGGCGGUGAGCAAGAUUGGUGUUGUUCCAAGUAAACCACGG
This 211-nucleotide long non-coding RNA is filed under the name Eucalyptus grandis. RNAcentral's name for it is "long non-coding RNA (EGRA_LNC007090)". The record is from RNAcentral. Lineage: Eukaryota; Viridiplantae; Streptophyta; Magnoliopsida; Myrtales; Myrtaceae.